RNAcentral lists this ribosomal RNA (264 nucleotides) under uncultured bacterium. RNAcentral describes it as "partial 16S ribosomal RNA". It matches the Rfam family "Bacterial small subunit ribosomal RNA", at positions 793 to 1055 of the family's 1533-position model. The record is from RNAcentral.
GUCCACGCCCUAAACGAUGAUCACUAGGUGUUGGGGAAGCGAUUCCUUGGUACCGUAGCUAACGCGUGAAGUGAUCCGCCUGGGGAGUACGGUCGCAAGAUUAAAACUCAAAGGAAUUGACGGGGACCCGCACAAGCGGUGGAUGAUGUGGAUUAAUUCGAUGCAACGCGAACAACCUUACCUACCCUUGACAUGUCCGGAACCCUGCUGAGAGGUGGGGGUGCCCGAAAGGGAAUCGGAACACAGGUGCUGCAUGGCUGUCGU